This 3006-nucleotide ribosomal RNA is filed under the name Salmonella enterica subsp. enterica serovar Saintpaul. RNAcentral describes it as "23S ribosomal RNA". It matches the Rfam family "Bacterial large subunit ribosomal RNA". The record is from RNAcentral. Lineage: Bacteria; Pseudomonadati; Pseudomonadota; Gammaproteobacteria; Enterobacterales; Enterobacteriaceae.
GGGUUGUGAGGUUAAGCGACUAAGCGUACACGGUGGAUGCCCCGGCAGUCAGAGGCGAUGAAGGACGUGCUAAUCUGCGAUAAGCGCCGGUAAGGUGAUAUGAACCGUUAUAACCGGCGAUUUCCGAAUGGGGAAACCCAGUGUGACUCGUCACACUAUCAUUAACUGAAUCCAUAGGUUAAUGAGGCGAACCGGGGAACUGAAACAUCUAAGUACCCCGAGGAAAAGAAAUCAACCGAGAUUCCCCCAGUAGCGGCGAGCGAACGGGGGGAGGAGCCCAGAGCCUGAAUCAGCAUGUGUGUUAGUGGAAGCGUCUGGAAAGGCGCGCGAUACAGGGUGACAGCCCCGUACACAAAAGCGCAUGUGCUGUGAGCUCGAUGAGUAGGGCGGGACACGUGGUAUCCUGUCUGAAUAUGGGGGACCAUCCUCCAAGGCUAAAUACUCCUGACUGACCGAUAGUGAACCAGUACCGUGAGGGAAAGGCGAAAAGAACCCCGGCGAGGGGAGUGAAAAAGAACCUGAAACCGUGUACGUACAAGCAGUGGGAGCACAGGUUUACCUGUGUGACUGCGUACCUUUUGUAUAAUGGGUCAGCGACUUAUAUUCUGUAGCAAGGUUAACCGUAUAGGGGAGCCGGAGGGAAACCGAGUCUUAAUUGGGCGUUAAGUUGCAGGGUAUAGACCCGAAACCCGGUGAUCUAGCCAUGGGCAGGUUGAAGGUUGGGUAACACUAACUGGAGGACCGAACCGACUAAUGUUGAAAAAUUAGCGGAUGACCUGUGGCUGGGGGUGAAAGGCCAAUCAAACCGGGAGAUAGCUGGUUCUCCCCGAAAGCUAUUUAGGUAGCGCCUCGUGAAUUCAUCUCCGGGGUAGAGCACUGUUUCGGCUAGGGGCCAUCCCGGCUUACCAACCCGAUGCAAACUGCGAAUACCGGAGAAUGUUAUCACGGGAGACACACGGCGGGUGCUAACGUCCGUCGUGAAGAGGGAAACAACCCAGACCGCCAGCUAAGGUCCCAAAGUCAUGGUUAAGUGGGAAACGAUGUGGGAAGGCCCAGACAGCCGUGAUGUUGGCUUAGAAGCAGCCAUCAUUUAAAGAAAGCGUAAUAGCUCACUGGUCGAGUCGGCCUGCGCGGAAGAUGUAACGGGGCUAAACCAUGCACCGAAGUUGCGGCAGCGAACGUAUCACCCAAGACAACUUUACGGAGUUGACGAUUGACGGAGCGAAGCGACGUCAAAGCGUUCAUUAAAGUCGAGUUGGCUUAGGGAUACGUUCGUUGGGUAGGGGAGCGUUCUGUAAGCCUGUGAAGGUGUGUCGUGAGGCAUGCUGGAGGUAUCAGAAGUGCGAAUGCUGACAUAAGUAACGAUAAAGCGGGUGAAAAGCCCGCUCGCCGGAAGACCAAGGGUUCCUGUCCAACGUUAAUCGGGGCAGGGUGAGUCGACCCCUAAGGCGAGGCCGAAAGGCGUAGUCGAUGGGAAACGGGUUAAUAUUCCCGUACUUGGUGUUACUGCGAAGGGGGACGGAGAAGGCUAUGUUGGCCGGGCGACGGUUGUCCCGGUUUAAGCGUGUAGGUGUGUGUUCCGGUAAAUCCGGUUCACUUUAACACUGAGGCGUGACGACGAGGCACUACGGUGCUGAAGCAACAAAUGCCCUGCUUCCGGAAAAGCCUCUAAGCAUCAGGUAACACGAAAUCGUACCCCAAACCGACACAGGUGGUCAGGUAGAGAAUACCAAGGCGCUUGAGAGAACUCGGGUGAAGGAACUAGGCAAAAUGGUGCCGUAACUUCGGGAGAAGGCACGCUGACACGUAGGUGAAGUGAUUUACUCAUGGAGCUGAAGUCAGUCGAAGAUACCAGCUGGCUGCAACUGUUUAUUAAAAACACAGCACUGUGCAAACACGAAAGUGGACGUAUACGGUGUGACGCCUGCCCGGUGCCGGAAGGUUAAUUGAUGGGGUCAGCGUAAGCGAAGCUCCUGAUCGAAGCCCCGGUAAACGGCGGCCGUAACUAUAACGGUCCUAAGGUAGCGAAAUUCCUUGUCGGGUAAGUUCCGACCUGCACGAAUGGCGUAAUGAUGGCGGGCUGUCUCCACCCGAGACUCAGUGAAAUUGAACUCGCUGUGAAGAUGCAGUGUACCCGCGGCAAGACGGAAAGACCCCGUGAACCUUUACUAUAGCUUGACACUGAACAUUGAGCCUUGAUGUGUAGGAUAGGUGGGAGGCUUUGAAGUGUGGACGCCAGUCUGCAUGGAGCCGACCUUGAAAUACCACCCUUUAAUGUUUGAUGUUCUAACGUGGACCCGUAAUCCGGGUUGCGGACAGUGUCUGGUGGGUAGUUUGACUGGGGCGGUCUCCUCCUAAAGAGUAACGGAGGAGCACGAAGGUUGGCUAAUCCCGGUCGGACAUCAGGAGGUUAGUGCAAUGGCAUAAGCCAGCUUGACUGCGAGCGUGACGGCGCGAGCAGGUGCGAAAGCAGGUCAUAGUGAUCCGGUGGUUCUGAAUGGAAGGGCCAUCGCUCAACGGAUAAAAGGUACUCCGGGGAUAACAGGCUGAUACCGCCCAAGAGUUCAUAUCGACGGCGGUGUUUGGCACCUCGAUGUCGGCUCAUCACAUCCUGGGGCUGAAGUAGGUCCCAAGGGUAUGGCUGUUCGCCAUUUAAAGUGGUACGCGAGCUGGGUUUAGAACGUCGUGAGACAGUUCGGUCCCUAUCUGCCGUGGGCGCUGGAGAACUGAGGGGGCUGCUCCUAGUACGAGAGGACCGGAGUGGACGCAUCACUGGUGUUCGGGUUGUCAUGCCAAUGGCACUGCCCGGUAGCUAAAUGCGGAAGAGAUAAGUGCUGAAAGCAUCUAAGCACGAAACUUGCCCCGAGAUGAGUUCUCCCUGAGACUUUAGGUCUCCUGAAGGAACGUUGAAGACGACGACGUUGAUAGGCCGGGUGUGUAAGCGCAGCGAUGCGUUGAGCUAACCGGUACUAAUGAACCGUGAGGCUUAACCUUACAACGCCGAAG